UACGGAGGGGACUAGCGUUGUUCGGAAUUACUGGGCGUAAAGCGCACGUAGGCGGAUUUGUAAGUCAGGGGUGAAAUCCCGAGGCUCAACCUCGGAACUGCCUUUGAUACUGCAAAUCUCGAGUCCGGAAGAGGUGAGUGGAAUUCCUAGUGUAGAGGUGAAAUUCGUAGAUAUUCGGAGGAACACCAGAAGCGAAGGCGGCCAACUGGCCCGAUACUGACGCUGAGGCGCGAAAGCGUGGGGAGCAAACAGG
This 253-nucleotide ribosomal RNA is filed under the name uncultured bacterium. Its description in RNAcentral is "partial 16S ribosomal RNA". It matches the Rfam family "Bacterial small subunit ribosomal RNA", at positions 524 to 776 of the family's 1533-position model. The record is from RNAcentral.